Molecule: unclassified non-coding RNA, 669 nt
Filed under: Hevea brasiliensis (rubber tree)
Lineage: Eukaryota; Viridiplantae; Streptophyta; Magnoliopsida; Malpighiales; Euphorbiaceae
Source: RNAcentral
CAAAUUGAAUGUCUUCGAGGGGAAAAAAAAUGAAUGUCUUAAUAAGAUUGUCUAACUUCAGAAGAAAAAAAACUACCUUAUGAGAUAGUGGAAGUCUCAUCCUAGCUUCAUGCUACAAAGGAGCUCGCAUGUUAUUGUAAGGAAAGGUGAACAGGGUUAUAUAGGCAUGUGGGUACUAAAAUAAACUUAAUUCAUACAUUUUUAUAUACAAAGAAAUAAUAAUUAGCCAAUUAUAUUUUAAAGGAAAAACUAAAUCUUAUUUUGUUUUUAAAAAUUUUCAUUUUUCUUUCUGUUUCCAAUUUCAUACUUGAAAAGCAGGGAGAAAAAGGAACAGAAAUCCUGCCGUUACUGCAUCCCUUUUGAGGGAGUUAUCAAUGAUAACAUAUUGCAUCAACCCAAGAAAACAAGGCAAAAAUACACAUACACUGUGAACUUGUAAAACAGAUCAGAGACAAAAGCUCACAUAAUCCAAAUCAAACAUAAGAUAAAAGCACUGCAUAGAACAACCCCUGUUUUCUUAAAAAAUGCUUAUAGAUUGUUGUAUCCAAUGUUUCCUUAUAAUAUCUUAUACAUGAUAUUCUCAGUGCUGAGUUCCUUAGUCACAAUAAUCCAAUGUUAUCACAUAGACCCUUCAAUUUUAGUUGUAGCCUGUGGGAUUUCAACUUCAUG